AGAUAAAUGAAAAUAAAAACACAACAUACCAAAACUUAUGUGAGAUGUCAAAAGUGGUGCUAAGGGGGAGAUUUAUAGCUAUAAAUGCUUACAUUUAAAAGAGAGAGAGAUCUCAAAUCAGCAACAUAAAUUUACAACUUAAGGAAUUAGAAAAAAGAAAAACUAAUCCCAAAGCUAGCAGAAGGAAAGAAAUAAAGAUUAGAGAUAAAUGAAAUAGAGAACAGAAAAA
Molecule: long non-coding RNA, 229 nt
Organism: Herpailurus yagouaroundi (jaguarundi)
Lineage: Eukaryota; Metazoa; Chordata; Mammalia; Carnivora; Felidae
Exons: 2
Source: RefSeq, a predicted model, not a curated record